GGACAGUCUACAGUCUGGUAAUAUAAAUAAUAUUUAGCUAAGAACACUUCCUCAAAUGAGUUUCCAUUAGACAUGCGAUUACCCACAACAUAUUCAAUUCGAAUGUUCAAUUUUUCAUACUUUAUCAUACCUCCAGCAUACCUUUAGAAUUACCUCUGUCAUCGUCGGGACUAGGUACGAAGAUCGGACAAGCGAUGGACGCAAAUGGAAGCAACCAACGAUGCGCUGAUUGGAGGCCA
RNAcentral lists this long non-coding RNA (239 nucleotides) under Drosophila guanche. The record is from RNAcentral. Lineage: Eukaryota; Metazoa; Arthropoda; Insecta; Diptera; Drosophilidae.